RNAcentral lists this ribosomal RNA (253 nucleotides) under uncultured bacterium. RNAcentral's name for it is "partial 16S ribosomal RNA". It matches the Rfam family "Bacterial small subunit ribosomal RNA", at positions 524 to 776 of the family's 1533-position model. The record is from RNAcentral.
UACAGGGGGUGCAAGCGUUAUUCGGAAUUAUUGGGCGUAAAGCGCGCGUAGGUGGUUUGCUAAGUCCGGUGUGAAAGCCCUCGACUCAAUCGAGGAAGUGCAUUGGAUACUGGUAGACUAGAGUAUAGGAGGGGUGAGCGGAAUUCCUGGUGUAGAGGUGAAAUUCGUAGAUAUCAGGAGGAACAGCAGUGGCGAAAGCGGCUCACUAGACUAUAACUGACACUCUGGCGCGAAAGCGUGGGUAGCAAACAGG